RNAcentral lists this ribosomal RNA (230 nucleotides) under uncultured bacterium. RNAcentral's name for it is "partial 16S ribosomal RNA". It matches the Rfam family "Bacterial small subunit ribosomal RNA", at positions 562 to 791 of the family's 1533-position model. The record is from RNAcentral.
AAAGCGCGCGUAGGCGGCUUGUUAAGUCGGAUGUGAAAUCCCUGGGCUCAACCUAGGCAUUGCAUUCGAUACUGGCAAGCUAGAGUAUGGGAGAGGAAGGUAGAAUUCCAGGUGUAGCGGUGAAAUGCGUAGAGAUCUGGAGGAAUACCGAUGGCGAAGGCAGCCUUCUGGCCUAAUACUGACGCUGAGGUGCGAAAGCAUGGGGAGCAAACAGGAUUAGAUACCCCAGU